GUGUCAGCCGCCGCGGUAAUACGGAGGGGGUUAGCGUUGUUCGGAAUUACUGGGCGUAAAGCGCGCGUAGGCGGAUUGGAAAGUUGGGGGUGAAAUCCCGGGGCUCAACCCCGGAACUGCCUCCAAAACUUCCAGUCUGGAGUUCGAGAGAGGUGAGUGGAAUUCCGAGUGUAGAGGUGAAAUUCGUAGAUAUUCGGAGGAACACCAGUGGCGAAGGCGGCUCACUGGCUCGAUACUGACGCUGAGGUGCGAAAGUGUGGGGAGCAAACAGGAUUAGAUACCCUGGUAGUCCACACCGUAAACGAUGAAUGCCAGACGUCGGGCAGCAUGCUGUUCGGUGUCACACCUAACGGAUUAAGCAUUCCGCCUGGGGAGUACGGCCGCAAGGUUAAAACUCAAAUGAAUUGACGGGG
RNAcentral lists this ribosomal RNA (413 nucleotides) under uncultured prokaryote. Its description in RNAcentral is "bacterial SSU rRNA". It matches the Rfam family "Bacterial small subunit ribosomal RNA", at positions 505 to 918 of the family's 1533-position model. The record is from RNAcentral.